Molecule: long non-coding RNA, 1033 nt
Organism: Equus caballus (horse)
Lineage: Eukaryota; Metazoa; Chordata; Mammalia; Perissodactyla; Equidae
Source: Ensembl
GUUGAAUCCUAAGGGGAGCCAGUCAUUUCACCUCUCUAGGCUAACCCCAAUAUGGUAGGCCCUCAGUAAACAUUUGUUGACUAUCUGAUCUGACAGCAUUCCGACUGAUAGCAGUGCUGCCAGCCCAUGUCCUCAGAAGGGCUGAGCCUGGAAAGAGAAAACAAAUUUUUUUUUGGAAAGAUGAUCUUGACCAUUUGUCUAUGACUUUGGGAAACUCAAAGCAGUGCCCAUGUUCUUGCUGCCAUUGCAUGCCGUUGAGAUCGACAGCUGCGGUUCUGGAGACAGCCAGAGAAACUUAGUUGAUACAUGGCAGGGCCAGGAAUUAGAUCCAGCUCUCUGGCUUUAGAGCUCUCUGCACCUUCCCUGCCCCUUUGCCACAUCACCCUCCUUCCAGAAGCAAUCAGAGGUGGAAAAAGGAAUCGAAGGCAGAGUCAUCCGCAAACUUAUGGGAAAAAAGGCUUCCAUGUGGUGAUGAAUAUAUACCUUAUUUGACGUUGAUAUCAUUGACGGCUGUCAUAAAACAGAGAGAAGACAGUCUCAGAGAGGUCAAGCCGCUUGUUCAAGGUCAGCUGGUCAAUAGCAAAGUAUGUUUCAGACUGUUUUUGCCAAGCUCCAGAUCCAGUGCGAAAACUUGUCCAUGCUGUCUCCAGAUCCACACCAACAUAUAUCCUGUAUCUUUGUAGCCAACCACGUUUUUGACGUAAAACCUCAGUGCUCAGUUUAAUCAUCUGUUUUAUUCUCCAUAUUUUGCUCAGAAAGACUUCAGAGUUGAAGAUUAGCCAUCAGAGGUAACACUUACAAGAAUGUUCCUCAGGUUCUGAAGAUCUGAAUCUUCAAAGAGUUGUUCCAAAAAUGAAACGAACAGCAAAUCAUCAGAACAGCUGUUUACCAUUCCAAGGAUGGCUGUGAAGAACAUGUAUUUGAACAAGUAAUUCCAAGUUCUUGUGAAAAACAAUUAGCUGUUUUCUUUAAAAUUGUAUCACUUUGAGAGUCUGAAUGGAGUUCUUUAAAAAUCCACAGCUUUGGGCCAGCA